This 538-nucleotide ribosomal RNA is filed under the name Streptococcus sp. W11. RNAcentral describes it as "bacterial SSU rRNA". It matches the Rfam family "Bacterial small subunit ribosomal RNA", at positions 8 to 524 of the family's 1533-position model. The record is from RNAcentral. Lineage: Bacteria; Bacillati; Bacillota; Bacilli; Lactobacillales; Streptococcaceae.
AGAGUUUGAUCCUGGCUCAGGACGAACGCUGGCGGCGUGCCUAAUACAUGCAAGUAGAACGCUGAAGACUUUAGCUUGCUAAAGUUGGAAGAGUUGCGAACGGGUGAGUAACGCGUAGGUAACCUGCCUACUAGCGGGGGAUAACUAUUGGAAACGAUAGCUAAUACCGCAUAACAGCAUUUAACACAUGUUAGAUGCUUGAAAGGAGCAAUUGCUUCACUAGUAGAUGGACCUGCGUUGUAUUAGCUAGUUGGUGAGGUAACGGCUCACCAAGGCGACGAUACAUAGCCGACCUGAGAGGGUGAUCGGCCACACUGGGACUGAGACACGGCCCAGACUCCUACGGGAGGCAGCAGUAGGGAAUCUUCGGCAAUGGGGGCAACCUUGCCGAGCAACGCCGCGUGAGUGAAGAAGGUUUUCGGAUCGUAAAGCUCUGUUGUUAAGAAGAAGAACGUUGUGUGUAGAUUGGAAAUUCACACAGUGACGGUUAACUUACCAGAAAAGGGACCGCUAACUACCUGCCAGCAGCCGCGGUAAU